UCUCCAACCCAUCUACAGCCAAUGAAAAUUAGAUGAAAUCCCCAUAAAUCCCAUGCGAAAACAAGGCCCACGACCGAUUCUUCAAAAAUGGGUCACCCAACACGAAGUUCACUACCCGAAUUCUUAAAAAAUCACCCGACUCUUCAAUUCAAAAACACGCGACCACGAAGGAAAGAAAAGAAAAUCGUCUGCGCUCUUCAUCUUCUUCUUCUCCAUUUCCAUUGCCGCUAUUGCUUCUUCAUUUUCACUUCUUCUUCUUCUGCCGAUGUUUCUUCUUCUAUGAACAAAUACGGUCGAAUCACACAAGAUGAAAAGCAACAAAAAGAAUGAUAAAAGGAGAAUCAUCAACAAAAUCUCCAACAAAAAGAAAUGAAAACUUGAAAAGCAAGGAAAUGAAGCCAAAGGUAUCAAGGGACUUUUGUUGCUGAUAAAUACUUAAAUAGACAAAUUACUUCUGCUGUGAUAUUAUUUCUUUAUUUUAUUUUGUUUUAGAUUUGUUUGUAUUUGGUUGUGUUUGUGUUUGUAUAAUGUUCUCGUUCUUCUGAUAGAUAGAGAUAGAAUAAUAUCAUUGUUUAUCAGUGACAAACGUUAGUCUAUCACUAUCUAUCAUUGAAAGACAGUGAUAUUGUUCUA
Benincasa hispida (wax gourd) is the source of this 633-nucleotide long non-coding RNA. RefSeq lists it as uncharacterized. Lineage: Eukaryota; Viridiplantae; Streptophyta; Magnoliopsida; Cucurbitales; Cucurbitaceae. The record is from RefSeq and is a predicted model, not a curated record.